AAGGAGAGCAACACUUGAGGGAAAUAUCUACUCAAUAAAGACGGAGAUUCUUCUCAUCAACAGCUGAGGAAAAAUCCAGUUGCCAUAAAGGGUAAAAGAGACAUCCUCUUAAUAUGAAUGAAGAUGACCAGAGUUCAGCAGGUUUGUAGUUCUAAUGAGUCCGAUCUUCCUGCACUGGAUGGCAACUGGCUUAUUGGUAUGCAGAUGUUUCUUGGGCAUAUUUUGGUCUCAGCAGACCCUAGAAAGAGCUUAAUGAUUUCUGUCCCCAGGGUUGUCUGUAUUAACCUUACGAAAAGGCACAUACGGAAGGAAAACUCUUAGCACUGACAUGGAACCCUUAAGUUAAAAUUUUUUUUUUUCCCCCUGAGUUGGAGGAAUAAUAUUCUUCGGUAUUCUCUUUUCUUGGAACUGGGGGUUCUUAGUGGAAUACAAAGUAACCUAUGCCAUAGAUAAUUCUAUCAUUAGACCUAGGAUUCACUUUUACAUCCCUAGGGUAAUUGGAUCUGAUUCUUUGGUCUUCAUAGUCCUUUGAAUUAGAAUGAUACUCUAGCAACCCUGUAGGAUUGUGUAUUGUAUGUGUUGGAACUGAUAAAAGGGAUUGUUAUUAACAUUUGGGAAGACUGUCCAAAGAGCUGCACUAACGGUGUUUUCAACAAACCUACAUUUCUAGACAUUUAAAAAUUCUCUUUGAAGAGACUUGAAAUGAUCUCUGAGUUCAUUCUUUACUAUUGACAUGGACUCAGGUGUAGGUUCAUGACACAAAACCUUAAAGCCCAUUUUUAUUUUGUCCUCUCUUGACCAAUGAAAUGCUCCAUUUGGUAGUUCUUGCAACUACUGUCCUUGACAAUCAGCAGGGAGGAACAAGGCUCCUUGCUGAGUCUGUGUCUUGCAUAAAAUUAUUGAUGUAUUGAAUAAGUUAUCUAAAACAGCAGGUUUCUUAAUGUCAAGUUGAGCAGUUUUAAAUUCCUGCCUGGAAUGUAACACCAAUUUGUGCACCUACUAUUUUGAUUGUUUUAUCUCCAAAUGGCCUUAACUUGAUGUUAGGCAUCUGUACUGCAUUUCAAUUUUGUUGGAAGCAGCAUCCUGUGCUCCUUAUAAUACCUGUGCUUGCAUAGCAAUUUAUAAUUUGUGAUACAUUUUUCCAUAUAUUUUCUAACUUAAUCCUCACAAUGUGCCUAUGUGAAGGGUGGUUUUAACCUCAUUUUUUAAGAUGAGGAAACUGAGGCUCAGGGAAUAUAUUGAUGUAUUCACAAUGAUUUAUUUAGCAAAAACAGAAGUUGAACUUGAAGGUACAAGCCCUUUGUAGAAUAUGAGCUCCCGCUUUUUGUUGCAGUUCUUUUGCUAUAAACUUUAAUUUGUUUAUGCAAAAUCUGAGAUAUUGCUUUAAAUAUCUGCAGCUAGAUUUGGCUGCAGUGAGCAGAGUUUUGUAUGUCUGCUGAACAUUAAAAUAUACUGAGGCAGUAAGAAGCUUUUUUUUUCCUAGAUAAUUAUCACAAGGAAGAUUUUCUUAGUGGGCUCUAAUGCUAAUGCUCUUCUGAGACUGGGGUGCCUCAGUACUCAAAUGCUCACACUGCAUCAUUCUCCCUGGAGAUUUGGUGCUGUUAAGAAUGUGUUUCAUUCUCUUCAGGUCCAAUGACAUGCCUUGUUUCUGUAGUGAAAAAUAAUCAUCAUCAAAAUAUUUGAGUGCUAUUUCAACUGAAUAUCACUUUUUAACAUCAGCCUACAAACAAAACAUUGAAUAUUAAACUAUAGUUACAGAACAGAAUGUGAAUGCUAUAAACCCUGUGAAGUGAAAGUAAUGGUCAAGUUGACAGAAGUCAGGAGGUAGGAAUAGAUGGUAGGCAGGAGAUGUGAUGUAGGGUGGGGCUGUAAUCUCUUCAUCUAAUGUAAUGGAUGGUCAAGAGAGAAAAUUAAAAGCUAAUGAAAUAACAUAUGAAGGCUUAGAGAUCUUAUUUAAAGUUAUAAAGUUAAGCAGUAGAAAAACUAAAAAUAAUAGUGCUAAUAACACCUGUUGGGGAGGGAAAGGGAGAAAAUAUAAUUAAGGUAAUUUUCUCAGCUUUUGUAUCACUGAGUCAAAAAGUUAAUAUCUAUAAUUGAGAAAUCAUGAAAGAGACAUUGGACAUAUUUAUGACCACCAAUGACUAAACUGUGACUCCAAAGAGUAGCAGAACUCAGAAUGGGGAGUACGACAGAAAACUUUCCUUUUUUAAAUAUUCUGUAUAAUUUGAUUUUUAAAUAAUGGAUAUUAGUGUUUUUAAAUUUUAAUCAGUGGGACUUUGCUAUUUCAUUUCUGCCAUAGACUGGUUGGUAUAUCAUGAAAACCCCAUGACUGUCUGAGCUGACAGAUGGACAAGGCAGGCCAGGCUUUGAAUAGACUGGGGAUUUGUGACUGAACCCUACAUGGACUGACUGGCUGAGCCAGCAGACUCAGCAGAGACCCCAGUCAUUAGAUGUUGCCUGAGCCAUGCGGUAGUAACAAUAUGACACAUCCACAGCCUGGACCAGGUGUCAGUAGAACACCUGUUAGUUGUGAUUUCGCCAAUAACUGGUUGUGUUACUGGGCAAGUUUGAGGCCUCAGUCUCCUCCUCAAUGAUCGUAAGCGUUCAAUUCUAGACUUCCUCUAACACUGACUUUCUGUUUUUCUAUUAUUCUCCUUGUCUUAUUUUUAUUUGUAAGAUAUGUAUAGUUAUAAAUCUUUUGAACCUAGAAUCACAACCCUGGGUACAUGAUCUAAGAGGCUACUUCAGAAUAAUAUCUUCUCUCUAGGAAUGAUCUUUGUGUUACCCAACAGCCAUCAAUCAUGGUUAUGUCCUGAGUACUGUUAAUCUGACUUAAGAAUGUGUUAGUUUAUCACUAAUAGAUUUCUUAAUUAAAUUACUGAAAUGGUUCAAAAGAGUUCAAGCUUUUGGGAAUAGGAUUUAAAGCACAUUCUCUUCCAUCAGUUUUUACAAUUUGAGCUACUUAUUACUGAUUUAAGGUGUUUUCUGAAUGUGUUGUUAAAUUUCCUUAAAGCAAGCAGGAAGUUAAAACUUUACAGAGAGCUCAGUUUCAUUGCUUGAUCAUAUGUGGCAAAGUAGCUUUGCUUUACCCUGUAUUUGAAUUGAUCCAGUCACAUUUUCCUCUAACUUUUUUCCUGUCAUCAGUUGAUAUUUUCAGUAAUAAAUUUAAUACAUAAGAAGGUGAAAAAUGAGUUAACAUUUUUCCAUGUUGUUUCUUUGCUUCUAGGUAAUCAAGUAAUCAAGUCUUAGAUCAAUUCUUUGAGAGUUUGCACUAAGAUGAGGAAAGCCAAGCCCAGUGAGAACGAUGUGAUGUAUAUCAGGAGACUUAUUUUCCCCUAAGUUUAUUGGGUCUUUUGAAGUUUUAUUAGGUUUGCAAGGUUGCUUACUGCAGUGACUUGGGAGAUACAAGCUGGCCAGAGUACCUUUCCAGAUAAUAAAAGACUGCAUUGCUUGGGUUUUUGACUGCAACUUGGGUUGCUGAAAACUGUCCUGCUCAUUCACUGAGUGACGCUGGUUUCAUUCCAGCAAUUCUAGUUGAAUGGGCAUUGGUGUGUACGUCAUUUAACUGCUCUUUUCUUGGUAUUUUGUCUCCCUUGAUACUUAGCUUCCCAGAGAGCCAACUCCUAGUAGAUCUUCAGACUGAAAUGUCAGCUGGGGCCAGAGUAUGAGAGGCCUACUGGAAAGCCCUAAACCAUUCAGAACAUGGGGCUGAAGAGGACAGAGGUCAGGUCAGAGGAGGCGGGCCAAGGUUGAAAAAUGGUUCUACAGGGAACAGGAGUGGAAAAUGGAUUAAGGUGAAGGAGGGGGUAAGAACCAGUACAAAUAACUGUGUGCUAAGCCAUUUAUAUACAGUAACACUCACAGUAACACUCUAAGUUAGAUAUUAAAAGUGCUACACCUAGAUCUGGGGAGAGUAAUUUGCCCAAGAUCACGCAGUUAAGUAUUGAAGUCAAUAUUUGAACUCAGUUCUGUCUGAAUCCAAAGCUCUUACUCAAUUCUGUUUUAUCAUUCUGCCUCCCAUUGGAGACAGGCAACUGGGUGUUUAAUAAAACACUCCUGUGUACUGAGAUGCAGGUUGCAAAUAUGAGUUGGUUUUUUUCCCAAAGACAUGUAAUCUCACUCAUGCUUACAUAGCUGCCUGUACAACUUGCAGCAUCAAGCCUCCAUUUGCAAGCAAGAAACAUGGUCUGGGUUGGAAUGCCUGGAUGGGACUGUGAAGCAGGCUGAGAAGGGAUAACUUCAAUUCCCUUCUACCCCAUUACAAAGCUUAUCUUUAUAGCACAAGAAAUACUUGCUUCUCUGGAGACUAAGGAUGCUUUGUUCCUAUUUUCUUCUUCAUUUUAAAAAUGAAAUGAAAAUAUCCCAUUAAAGGGAAGUUCCUUAUUUCUAACUGUUGAAUGCCAUGGUACUUAAUUUCAGCUUGUUAAAUUUAGGGUCUUGAAACAAAAUCCCACACAUAAAUGUUCUCUGGGCCCAUGGCAUUUCCAUUUGAUUGUGAAUUGGAUUAAUUUUUAUGUAUCUUAAGCUCUUGCCUCUCAUUCCUUUUUGUUUUGAGAUACUUAAACAAAUGUUGACGGUUAUGGUUGGCUUAAUAAGCUGCCUCAGUUAUGUAAAUGAUUUCUGUUAGUUAUGUUAUUGCUAGUUGAAGAUAGCUUUAAGUUUUCUGGCAUAUUUUUGGGACUUACUAGUAAAGCAUUACUGAUACCUUUUAACAUUCUUUUGCUUCUUCAGGCAUCAAGUUGACCUUUUUUCUAGCUCCCUUUAGCCCUACACUUCCUUUUUGAAUCUACUGUUUGCUUGACAUGAAAAAUGAACUUACAAAAUUAUAGACCCAGUGGCCUUUUCUUAGUCUUCAUUCUUCUUGGCCGCUCUGCUGCAGUUGACACUACUGCCUCCUCCUUUUUCUUGAAAUGUCUUUCUCCUUUGGCUUCCAUGACACUCUAUUUCCUGGUUCUUUCUCUCCCCUCUGACUUUACUUUCUGCUCUUCAUCCUCUCUACAAUCUUUACUACAGACUCGUGCUUUAUAGUGCUGAAAGUGAUGAUAAUUGUGUGGCACGUGGGGGUUCCCAGAUGAGGCUGCCUGAUUCUGAAGGUGAUGGGAAUGUGGUCUGAGGAUAGCAAUCUCUUGGCACACCUGUAACCCAAUGGGGCACAUCCAUGUGCUUCUGCAUACUGAUUGGGAGUUUUGUUCUAUGCAUUGCAGGGAGCUGAGUUACCUCCAGAUCAUAGUAAAUACGGGAUAAGAAAAUCAAGGUACAGGCAAAUAGUGGGAAAAACCAUGAUGAAGCACUAGAGAUCAUAACGGCAGAAAGUCCAUAAAGUUUAAAGAGAGGUCAGGGAAAAAGCAUUCCGUAGAUGCAAGAAACAGCAAGGAUUCACACACAGGAGUUCUAACAAGGGCUUAGGGACAUCUGUGACAGUGGUCAGAGAUCAGAAACAGAAAUUAAUAACCCAAACUUUCAUUUGAACUUGGCUGGAGCCCAGGAGGAUAUCAAGAUAUGGCUGAGCACCAGAAAUCAGAGCACAGGUGACUGUUCCUUAAGAAUGGCCCAUCUACAGGUGUCUGUGAUGACUGUGCUGAGCUGUGAGAGCAGGCAUGGUAGACAAUGGAGUGAAGAGCUUAGAAUGCAGGUGAGAUUCAUUCCAAGUAAACCAAACUCAAGAUGACUGGCUGCAGCUAGGCCAGGAAGCUUCUUUAUCAUCACAUUACCUCUUGGGGACUAUUAUUUACUUCCAAGUCUAAAGUGAUGGUUUUCUGCCCUGACGUUUUAUCCAAAUUUUGGUUGGCUAGAAACUGAACUAGAGAUCUUGUCACCUCAAGUUCCAAGAGCCAAAUACCUUUCAUGUCUGAACGCUAGUUCCACUUUCUACUUCUUGGUCUCUUCAUCAAUCUCCUAGGCUCAAAGUCUUGUAGACAUCGUUGACUUGUGUCUCUUUGGUCCCCCAUCAUCACUCAGUCAUUUUCUGGAGAAUGUCUCACAUUGAUCCUCUUCUUUUCCCUAGUUCAGACCCAUCUCUCUUAUGUCCAAGUCUCUUCACACCUUCUUCCUCUCUGGUCUCACUGCCUCUAGUUCCAUUUCUCUCUGAAGUAUCUAACACUGACUAGUGUUUGGGAAACUCAGAUUUCAUUAUCUCAUUCCUUGACCAAAAGUGGAUUCAGGGAUUGCCCGUGUCUCCUUUUUAAGUAAAAACAUCUUUGGGCAGGGCGCAGUGGCUCACGUCUGUAAUCCCAGC
Molecule: long non-coding RNA, 6235 nt
Filed under: Homo sapiens (human)
Lineage: Eukaryota; Metazoa; Chordata; Mammalia; Primates; Hominidae
Description: HSALNT0335636
Source: RNAcentral